RNAcentral lists this ribosomal RNA (460 nucleotides) under uncultured bacterium. Its description in RNAcentral is "partial 16S ribosomal RNA". It matches the Rfam family "Bacterial small subunit ribosomal RNA", at positions 338 to 795 of the family's 1533-position model. The record is from RNAcentral.
CCUACGGGUGGCAGCAGUGAGGAAUAUUGGUCAAUGGGCGCGAGCCUGAACCAGCCAAGUAGCGUGAAGGAUGACUGCCCUACGGGUUGUAAACUUCUUUUAUCAAGGAAUAAAGUGAGGCACGAGUGCCUUUUUGUAUGUACUUUAUGAAUAAGGAUCGGCUAACUCCGUGCCAGCAGCCGCGGUAAUACGGAGGAUCCGAGCGUUAUCCGGAUUUAUUGGGUUUAAAGGGAGCGUAGAUGGGUUGUUAAGUCAGCUGUGAAAGUUUGCGGCUCAACCGGAAAAUUGCAAUUGAUACUGGCAGCCUUGAGUUGAGUUGAGGUAGGCGGAAUGCGUGGUGUAGCGGUGAAAUGCUUAGAUAUCACGAAGAACUCCGAUUGCGAAGGCAGCUUACUAAACUGCCACUGACAUUGAUGCUCGAAAGUGUGGGUAUCAAACAGGAUUAGAUACCCGGGUAGUC